Molecule: ribosomal RNA, 1247 nt
Filed under: Salmonella enterica subsp. enterica serovar Enteritidis
Lineage: Bacteria; Pseudomonadati; Pseudomonadota; Gammaproteobacteria; Enterobacterales; Enterobacteriaceae
Description: partial 23S ribosomal RNA
Rfam family: Bacterial large subunit ribosomal RNA
Source: RNAcentral
GGGUUGUGAGGUUAAGCGACUAAGCGUACACGGUGGAUGCCCUGGCAGUCAGAGGCGAUGAAGGGCGUGCUAAUCUGCGAUAAGCGCCGGUAAGGUGAUAUGAACCGUUAUAACCGGCGAUACCCGAAUGGGGAAACCCAGUGUGACUCGUCACACUAUCAUUAACUGAAUCCAUAGGUUAAUGAGGCGAACCGGGGGAACUGAAACAUCUAAGUACCCCGAGGAAAAGAAAUCAACCGAGAUUCCCCCAGUAGCGGCGAGCGAACGGGGAGGAGCCCAGAGCCUGAAUCAGCAUGUGUGUUAGUGGAAGCGUCUGGAAAGGCGCGCGAUACAGGGUGACAGCCCCGUACACAAAAGCGCAUGUGCUGUGAGCUCGAUGAGUAGGGCGGGACACGUGGUAUCCUGUCUGAAUAUGGGGGGACCAUCCUCCAAGGCUAAAUACUCCUGACUGACCGAUAGUGAACCAGUACCGUGAGGGAAAGGCGAAAAGAACCCCGGCGAGGGGAGUGAAAAAGAACCUGAAACCGUGUACGUACAAGCAGUGGGAGCACCCUUUGGGUGUGACUGCGUACCUUUUGUAUAAUGGGUCAGCGACUUAUAUUCUGUAGCAAGGUUAACCGAAUAGGGGAGCCGGAGGGAAACCGAGUCUUAAUUGGGCGUUAAGUUGCAGGGUAUAGACCCGAAACCCGGUGAUCUAGCCAUGGGCAGGUUGAAGGUUGGGUAACACUAACUGGAGGACCGAACCGACUAAUGUUGAAAAAUUAGCGGAUGACCUGUGGCUGGGGGUGAAAGGCCAAUCAAACCGGGAGAUAGCUGGUUCUCCCCGAAAGCUAUUUAGGUAGCGCCUCGUGAAUUCAUCUCCGGGGGUAGAGCACUGUUUCGGCUAGGGGGCCAUCCCGGCUUACCAACCCGAUGCAAACUGCGAAUACCGGAGAAUGUUAUCACGGGAGACACACGGCGGGUGCUAACGUCCGUCGUGAAGAGGGAAACAACCCAGACCGCCAGCUAAGGUCCCAAAGUCAUGGUUAAGUGGGAAACGAUGUGGGAAGGCCCAGACAGCCAGGAUGUUGGCUUAGAAGCAGCCAUCAUUUAAAGAAAGCGUAAUAGCUCACUGGUCGAGUCGGCCUGCGCGGAAGAUGUAACGGGGCUAAACCAUGCACCGAAGCUGCGGCAGCGACACUGUGUGUUGUUGGGUAGGGGAGCGUUCUGUAAGCCUGUGAAGGUGUGUCGUGAGGCAUGCUGGAGGU